GACGAACGCUGGAGGCGUGCUUAACACAUGCAAGUCGAACGGUGAAAUGGAGCUUGCUCCAUGGAUUAGUGGCGAACGGGUGAGUAACACGUGAAUAACCUGCCCUUAAUUUUGGAAUAACCCAGGGAAACCUGGGCUAAUACCGGAUAAGUAAACCUGUGGCAUCACAUGGUUUUGGAAAGUUUUUCGAUUAAGGAUGGAUUCGCGGCCUAUCAGCUUGUUGGUGAGGUAAUGGCUCACCAAGGCGACGACGGGUAGCCGGCCUGAGAGGGUGAACGGCCACACUGGGACUGAGACACGGCCCAGACUCCUACGGGAGGCAGCAGUGGGGAAUAUUGCGCAAUGGACGAAAGUCUGACGCAGCGACGCCUCGUGAGGGACGAAGGUCUUCGGAUUGUAAACCUCUUUCAGCAGGGACGAAGCGAAAGUGACGGUACCUGCAGAAGAAGCACCGGCUAACUAUGUGCCAGCCGCCGCCGUAA
This 482-nucleotide ribosomal RNA is filed under the name uncultured bacterium. RNAcentral's name for it is "partial 16S ribosomal RNA". It matches the Rfam family "Bacterial small subunit ribosomal RNA", at positions 28 to 523 of the family's 1533-position model. The record is from RNAcentral.